UGAGUAACCUGCCCUUAACUCUGGGAUAAGCCUGGGAAACUGGGUCUAAUACCGGAUAUGACUCCUCAUCGCAUGGUGGGGGGUGGAAAGCUUUAUUGUGGUUUUGGAUGGACUCGCGGCCUAUCAGCUUGUUGGUGAGGUAAUGGCUCACCAAGGCGACGACGGGUAGCCGGCCUGAGAGGGUGACCGGCCACACUGGGACUGAGACACGGCCCAGACUCCUACGGGAGGCAG
Molecule: ribosomal RNA, 234 nt
Filed under: uncultured bacterium
Lineage: Bacteria
Description: partial 16S ribosomal RNA
Rfam family: Bacterial small subunit ribosomal RNA
Source: RNAcentral